UAAGCCAGACCAGGGGGGUAUUCCAGAAAGCAGGUUAUGUGACAUACCUGGGUAUGUUUAAGGGGUUUCCAAAUGUAAUUGGGUGCAUUGAUGGCACUCACAUUCCUAUUAAAGCUUCACCAAUAAAUGAGGGAGACUGUGUUAAUAGGAAAUCUAUUCAUAGUAUCAAUGUGCAGGACAGUACAAUGGUUACUUGCUGGGGGACAGAGGAUACCCUUGUCUGACCUAUUUAAUGACACCCUACCCUGAACCUGAGCCUGGACCACAGACACGGUUUAACCUGGAUCACAGCCGAACACGGGCCAAGGUGGAGAUGACUAAAGGGAUCCUCAAAUCUCGGUUUCAGUGGCUGCGUGGGCUCCGGGUUAGUCCAGAGAGGGCAUGCGACAUUAUAGUGGCUUGUGUUGUGCUUCACAAUAUUGCCACUAUAAGAGGAGAGAGCCACCCUCCUUGUAUUGAGGAAGAUGGCCCAGAGGAACACCUACAGAUUUUAGAGGCCAACAGAGAUGGAACACUUUUGAGAGACAGAAUCUGUCAAAAUCACUUUUAUUAUUUUUUUGCACUG
Silurus meridionalis is the source of this 565-nucleotide long non-coding RNA. RefSeq lists it as uncharacterized. The transcript is spliced from 3 exons. The record is from RefSeq and is a predicted model, not a curated record. Lineage: Eukaryota; Metazoa; Chordata; Actinopteri; Siluriformes; Siluridae.